CCUACGGGAGGCAGCAGUGGGGAAUUUUGCGCAAUGCUCGUAAGAGUGACGCAGCGACGCCGCGUGAAUGACGAAGGCCUUCGGGUCGUAAAGUUCUUUCGACAGGGAAGAAAAUGCAGAUAAGUAACUGUGUAUGUAUUGACGGUACCUGUAUAAGCAGCCCCGGCUAACUACGUGCCAGCAGCCGCGGUAAUACGGAGGGGGCGAGCGUUGGUCGGAGGGACUGGGCGUAAAGAGCACGUAGGCGGUGUUGUAAGUCAUUAGUCAAAGACUAGAGCUCAACUUUAGUAAGGCUAGUGAUACUAUAAUACUAGAGUAUCAGAGAGGAUUGCAGAAUUCCUGGUGUAGCGGUGAAAUGCGUAGAUAUCAGGAGGAAUACCGUUAGCGAAGGCGGCAAUCUGGCUGGAAACUGACGCUGAGGUGCGAAAGCGUGGGUAGCAAACAGGAUUAGAUACCCUUGUAGUC
Molecule: ribosomal RNA, 465 nt
Filed under: uncultured bacterium
Lineage: Bacteria
Description: partial 16S ribosomal RNA
Rfam family: Bacterial small subunit ribosomal RNA
Source: RNAcentral